GUCCCACUAUUGCUUCCUUCACCCUAGAGUUCCUACAGAAUGUUGGGCAGAAUGGGAAAUUGUGCCCUAGCUCACAGCGAUGCUACAACACACCUGUUUAAAUAGGAAUCUCUUCCCCUCCACCCCCAAAGGAAAAAAAAAAAUUAAAUCACAGUUCAUUGGCACUGUCAGAAGUAUAACUCUGUACUGUCAAGCAAUAUGACAAUUCUUUCAUUUUUUUAAAAAAAAGUCUAACAUUGCCCUGACCAGUUUGGCUCAGUGGAU
Long non-coding RNA from Pipistrellus kuhlii (Kuhl's pipistrelle), 264 nucleotides. RefSeq lists it as uncharacterized. NCBI's taxonomy places the organism in Eukaryota, Metazoa, Chordata, Mammalia, Chiroptera, Vespertilionidae. The transcript is spliced from 3 exons. The record is from RefSeq and is a predicted model, not a curated record.